RNAcentral lists this ribosomal RNA (354 nucleotides) under uncultured Sphingobacteriales bacterium. RNAcentral describes it as "bacterial SSU rRNA". It matches the Rfam family "Bacterial small subunit ribosomal RNA", at positions 1030 to 1382 of the family's 1533-position model. The record is from RNAcentral. Lineage: Bacteria; Pseudomonadati; Bacteroidota; Sphingobacteriia; Sphingobacteriales.
UUUGCAAGGUGCUGCAUGGUUGUCGUCAGCUCGUGCCGUGAGGUGUCCGGGUUAAGUCCCAUAACGAGCGCAACCCUUAUCGUUAGUUGCCAGCGGGUAAUGCCGGGAACUCUAACGAAACUGCCGGUGUAAAACCGUGAGGAAGGUGGGAUGACGUCAAAUCAGCACGGCCCUUAUGUCCAGGGCUACACACGUGUUACAAUGGCCGGUACAGAGGGCAGCUACCUGGAGACAGGAUGCGAAUCUCCAAAGCCGGUCUCAGUUCGGAUCGGAGUCUGCAACUCGACUCCGUGAAGCUGGAUUCGCUAGUAAUCGCGCAUCAGCCAUGGCGCGGUGAAUACGUUCCCGGGCCUU